GGGGCCUCUCCCGGGUUUCCGAGUCUCCCCCCGCCCGUCCGGAGCCGCCCUCAGGCGUGAGGGGUCACCACGGGCACGGCCCCGAGAUGUGGUGGCCUCAGGCACCCACAUGGUGGGGUUUUGUACCGUGGAAAGACAGGGAUCACAACAGCUGGCUAAGAAUUCCCUCUGCAGCAUGUACACACGGAGCAAGAGGCAACGCCUUGAAAAAUUCACAGUAGGAAAGACAGACCUUAAGGAGUGGGACUUACCGUG
This is a long non-coding RNA of Empidonax traillii (willow flycatcher), 255 nucleotides long. RefSeq lists it as uncharacterized. The record is from RefSeq and is a predicted model, not a curated record. Lineage: Eukaryota; Metazoa; Chordata; Aves; Passeriformes; Tyrannidae. The transcript has 3 exons.